This 515-nucleotide ribosomal RNA is filed under the name uncultured bacterium. Its description in RNAcentral is "bacterial SSU rRNA". It matches the Rfam family "Bacterial small subunit ribosomal RNA", at positions 36 to 518 of the family's 1533-position model. The record is from RNAcentral.
CUGGCGGCGUGCCUAAUACAUGCAAGUCGAACGGUCUUUCUAUGGAAGCUUGCUUCCACUGAGAAGAUAGUGGCGAACGGGUGGAGUAACACGUGGGUAACCGUAGCCCAUAAGAGGGGGAGUAACAUCCGGAAACGGGUAGCUAAUACCGCAUAGUUUUCUUGAUCGCAUGAUCGGGAAAGGAAAGACAGCCUUUGUGCUGUCGCUUAUGGAUGGACCCGCGGCGUAUUAGUUAGUUGGUGAGGUAACGGCUCACCAAGACGAUGAUACGUAGCCGACCUGAGAGGGUGAUCGGCCACAUUGGGACUGAGACACGGCCCAAACUCCUACGGGAGGCAGCAGUAGGGAAUCUUCCGCAAUGGACGAAAGUCUGACGGAGCAACGCCGCGUGAGUGAAGAAAAGGUUUUCGGAUCGUAAAACUCUGUUGUCAGAGAAGAACAAGUUGGAGAGUAACUGCUCCAGCCUUGACGGUAUCUGACCAGAAAGCCACGGCUAACUACGUGCCAGCCGCCGC